ACUCACGAAUACUGAGAUCCCCCAAGCAAGUAUGAACUUCUCUAAAAGGGACACAUGAAUACCAAGAUAUUGGAGGCUUGAGCAAAUACUAUGAAUCUCUCAAGGAGCUAUGGAUUACCUUAAAAGGCUAGACAACAGAGCCAUGGCACAGGAAGUCUGCCCUGGAUGCUAUCCUGCUGGGAAUUGGCCCUCUGAAACAGAUCCACCCACCCUGAUGAGUCAUGACAUUAAAAAUUAUGAAGGAAAUGGACUGGACUGGAGACACCUCUCUCUUCUGGGAUACAACAUGUAAAAGCAGGAUUGAGAUCUCUAUGCCUGUUCUUCAACUGCUGUGGCUACUACUAUUCCAAGAGACAGAAUAAGAAAGUUAAAGACAGCAAGAAAUGGAUCUGUAAGGCCCGAAGUGAGUGGUCUGGAAAACGACUGGGCUCACUCACAUGAAUAUAAGGGUGAGAGGGGAAAAGCUGUGUGACUAAGUCCUGUGAUUUGGGGAUUGGGUCCAAAGCAUAGCUCAGCCCUUAUUUACUAACAUCAGAGUGAAGACAAGAACUAACUUUGCCUAAAUUUUGCAGCUAAUCCAUUCAGGAACAGACUAAAUCUCAUCCUUGUUUUCCUGUAAAGGCGACUCAAGAUUUUAUCCACUUGAUUAACAGGUAUGUUCAUAGUAAACCCGAGUAACCAUUUUUGUACAGUGAAUAAAGUAUUUUUAAUUAUCCAGA
RNAcentral lists this long non-coding RNA (719 nucleotides) under Mus caroli (Ryukyu mouse). RNAcentral describes it as "lncRNA (MGP_CAROLIEiJ_G0005288.1)". Lineage: Eukaryota; Metazoa; Chordata; Mammalia; Rodentia; Muridae. The record is from RNAcentral.